GUGCCGCCGCCUCCGCCCGCCCCUACGGGAAACGCGCGGCCGAGGUCCCGUGAGGCCGCGGGAAGGAGCGAGGACGCUGCGGACGCGGAGGGGAACCAGCGAAGUGCAGCUCUCCUUGCGACGGCAUCCCUGGAUCCCAUCCCUGGAACGGGGCGAUGCCUGUCACAGUGCUGGGCUCCGGGGAAAUUUUCCCCUGCAGAACUGCCCCCUUCACACGUAAGAUCUGGGGUUUCUGCUGAAUAUUUGAGCGAACAAGCAUCCCACGUGCAUUGGCGAGGCUGGCAGCAAUCCCCCGGCCAUCGUAGUGAAAAAACACCGUGCUGCAGUACUGCCACAGCAUCGCACAGAACCGACAGUGUGUCACAGGCUCAGUGCUCAAAACAAAUUAAAAAGAUACUUGCUGUUU
Molecule: long non-coding RNA, 406 nt
Organism: Parus major (Great Tit)
Lineage: Eukaryota; Metazoa; Chordata; Aves; Passeriformes; Paridae
Exons: 2
Source: RefSeq, a predicted model, not a curated record